Molecule: ribosomal RNA, 360 nt
Filed under: uncultured bacterium
Lineage: Bacteria
Description: partial 16S ribosomal RNA
Rfam family: Bacterial small subunit ribosomal RNA
Source: RNAcentral
CCUACGGGGGGCAGCAGUGAGGAAUAUUGGUCAAUGGCCGGAAGGCUGAACCAGCCAAGCCGCGUGAAGGACGAAGGUGCCAAGCAUUGUAAACUUCUUUUGUCAAGGGACAAAAUCAGGCUCGAGAGCCUGACCGAGGGUACUUGAAGAAAAAGCAUCGGCGAACUCGGUGCCAGCAGCCGCGGUAAUCCGGAGGAUGCGGGCGUUAUCCGGAUUUAUUGGGUUUAAAGGGUGCGUAGGCGGACGGUUAAGUCAGAGGUAAAAGCCCGGGGCUAAACCCCGGCGAGCCGUUGAAACUGGCUGUCUUGAGAGGAGGAGAGGUAUGCGGAAUGCGCAGUGUAGCGGUGAAAUGCGUAGAUA